This 1568-nucleotide long non-coding RNA is filed under the name Marmota monax (woodchuck). The record is from RNAcentral. Lineage: Eukaryota; Metazoa; Chordata; Mammalia; Rodentia; Sciuridae.
AAAAAAUUCGUAACUGUUGCAGUAGAAAUUCAAUUGACUGUAGAGGUACAGAUAUCUUUCUAAAUUUUUGUAUUUUUCUGAAUAACUUGCUGAUAUUUUAAGACUUACUAUAUAAAGCAUCACACCAACUGCAAAAUAAUCACUGUUGUUUCUCAGUCUCCUGUCUUAAGGUUGAUAAGAGGAAAAUUCCAAGAUGUCCUCAGUUUAUUUGCCAAGGACCAGAGAAUGGAAGUAAGGAGAGAUUGGGGCAAGUGGAAGUAAUUCAGUAAUGAGCAGUGGGCUUAAAAUAAAAUUAAACCUUAACUUAAAUCCCAUCAAUACCAGCUAGGUGCUGUCACAUUCUGCCUUUACCCCCAAACAAUCCAGAGGCAGCUUGAUGUCAUCCCAAUUCUCUCAUCUAUGAUCUGAUCAAUGUAGGGUUUUUGGUAAACAGUUUUUUAUUCCUUUCUUCCCAGAUUUGCAUUAUAAAAGACUUUGCCUUAUUAGAUGUGAGGAACAUUUUUUCAGCUGCUACCUAACUUUGCUGCUGGGGAUGAGGGAAUCUCUUGUCUCAGGACUGGUCCUUUCUUUCUAGUAAGGGAUAGUGAGGGAAAUUGGCUAAGCCUGGAUACACCUGGAUAUAAAUAUUUUAAAUAACAAAGUUUCCUUAAGUUGUCUUCUAGGAAAAGCCUUCAUCAUCCAGUCAGGGGUCAGCCUAAAACCAGUUUUCCAAGAACAGACAUAUGCAGAAGUAGCCUGCUUGUCCUGAUGAUGACCUUUGGAUGUCACAAACUCAAAAUUCAUUGGGGAAGACCAUGAUAACUACCCCUCCUCAAGAAAAGAAUCUUGUCAACUUGAACCAGGCAUGGAGGUACACGCCAGCCUCAGCAAUUUAGAGAACUUGUUUCAAAAAGAAAAAAAAAAAAGUGACAGUGAUCUUGUGAAGAGGAAUGAUGACCUUUAGACCACCCUCCAUAAGAACCCUCCCCUAUUCAUCUGAUCAACAAACAGUUUUCACCCUCUAUGAAUUUCCACCCUACAAACCAACUUCAAUUUUUGCUCAAAAAUUUUGGUAGUAUGGCCAUUUUGACAGUAUUAAUUCUGCCUAUCCAAGGGCAUAGGAAAUCUUUCCAUCUUCUAAGGUCUUCUCUUUCACCUUCUACAUUUCUAAUUUGGGGCAAUCAUCACUAAUAUCCUAAGCCAUCUCUGUCCUUCAGUAUCAGGCUCCUCUUAUUGGUUGUUUUACUUUGGAACAAACCUCAUGCCAUGGUAUUACCAUUUGUGUAUCUUGCCCUGUGUCUCUAUCAUCUGUAAUGGCUUGAUGAGCCCCUUUAUUUCAGAGACCCUUCAGUCUAGAAUUUUGGCUUAACAACAACUUUGAAUUGUUAUACUUAUUGCACUCAAAACAAUGUUGAAUAGAAGUGAUAAUUUCAUUUUUUUCUGUAUUUCACAGUUAGUGCUCUCACUAUUUCUCCAUUUAGGUUGAUGUUUGUCAUUUUUCGGGUAAAAAUGUUAUGUAGAUAUAUAUGUGCAAAUAUUAUACAUACACACACACACACACACACAUAUUCCCCUCUUUUCUAGUAGUU